RNAcentral lists this ribosomal RNA (358 nucleotides) under bacterium enrichment culture DGGE gel band MRS15. RNAcentral describes it as "bacterial SSU rRNA". It matches the Rfam family "Bacterial small subunit ribosomal RNA", at positions 958 to 1317 of the family's 1533-position model. The record is from RNAcentral. RNAcentral also lists the same sequence under 1 other name.
AACGCGAAGAACCUUACCAGGUCUUGACAUCCCGAUGCUAUUCCUAGAGAUAGGAAGUUUCUUCGGAACAUCGGUGACAGGUGGUGCAUGGUUGUCGUCAGCUCGUGUCGUGAGAUGUUGGGUUAAGUCCCGCAACGAGCGCAACCCCUAUUGUUAGUUGCCAUCAUUAAGUUGGGCACUCUAGCGAGACUGCCGGUAAUAAACCGGAGGAAGGUGGGGAUGACGUCAAAUCAUCAUGCCCCUUAUGACCUGGGCUACACACGUGCUACAAUGGUUGGUACAACGAGUCGCGAGUCGGUGACGGCAAGCAAAUCUCUUAAAGCCAAUCUCAGUUCGGAUUGUAGGCUGCAACUCGCCU